AUCUAUUCAGAUCAUAGGCAUGAUGAUUGGGUAGUCACACCACACACCACAGUGUGAUGUGUGCCUCGCACAACCACCUUACACUGCCAACACAUUACCCUUCUGGCA
This is a small nucleolar RNA of Mus caroli (Ryukyu mouse), 108 nucleotides long. RefSeq annotates it as small nucleolar RNA U13. The record is from RefSeq and is a predicted model, not a curated record. Lineage: Eukaryota; Metazoa; Chordata; Mammalia; Rodentia; Muridae.